ACCGGCAUAAAAAAAGGAAGAAAUAUCGAAAACCACUGAGGAAAUAGAAAGCUUAUACAAGUAUCUAGACUGAGCACCCACUUCAGUAGGCAACACUACAGAAACAGAGAGAAGGUGACAAUACACCUAACAUCUUAUGGUAGCCUUUUAUGAUGGGGAACACCCCACCACACUCAUCAAUCAUUUCAACUCCCUCUCUUUCCUUCUUCCUCCAAAUGUCAACUCUUCUACUUCUCUUCAUUUUUCUUCUCAAUCAUCACUAUUUAUAAGGCUUAGUUUAACUGACUGUUUGCCAUUAUUUAAAAAAUAAAAUAUCAAUUUAAGGGUAUGUUUAACUGACUGUUUGCCAUUACAUACAUAUAUAUUAUGGAGCUCUGUCAGUGAAACAUUGAUGACAGGUUGAUGCAGCCCAUUUUAUUAUUGGUUUAUUCACUAUUAAACAAUGACAUUUAUUGGUCUAUUUAUAUGAAUUUUAAGUUGGUGCAGUCCAUUUAAGAUAAAUUCUUUUUCUUCCCUCCCAAAAUGCUGUUAUUGGUCACAGGUUUGAUGGUAAGAAGUUGUUGGACAGAGACACAGGAAAGAAGAUAAUGUUUGUGGGGGACUCCUAAGUAACAAGCAGCGCCAGUCAAUCACUUCUUUGCUUCACAUUGCUCAUCCUCAAAUAUGAGUUUCUUAUUAACGAUCACUAAUCGGGAUCUGCUCAUCCUCUCACUAUAUUUUUUUCACAACACACACAGCAAGUUCAUGUGUUUUCAUUUCCGGAUUACAUAACUUCAAUCAUGUGCUUGAAGAAUGGGUUCUUAGUGGAUUUGACUAUUGAUAAAGCAAAAGGCAGGAUUUUGAGGUUGGACAGAAUAAGCUGUGGGGAUCAGUGGAAAGGAGUUAAUGUUUUCAUUUUCAAUUCUUACCGUAGUUGGUCUCACACAGGACACUAAGCAUAAUGAAAAUCCUUAGAUUUGAGCUACCUUUUUUAUGCUUUAUCAGAGGACGUAACCAUGUGGCUAAUGGUUUCAAUUUAAUGAUAUUAAACGUGUUCCAACUACACAAAACAAUCAAACCUUAGGUGGAAUACUAAUUCUGCACUACAUAUAGUCCAUAGUUUUCUAGUUUCAUACUAGACCAUAUAUAAAGUGAUUUAAACACAAAUGAAUGUUCAAGCAACUUUGUUUCAUGAUUAUCAUUGUCUUUAAACUCUAAAAUGAGUUCAAAAAAACCCUACCAACAUAUCCAUGAAUGCCUUUUUAACACACUAAACACAAUCACAUUUUAAUUUAUAACAUAUAAAAAAAUGCUAAUAAAAACAUAAAUAUGAACUUAGAUGAGAAAUUACAAAAAAAUAAUGACUAUGUACAGUACACAAGUGUGGGAGUGGAUGGAGGCCAGAAUUACAUAGCAUAGAUUGAUGCAACCAAAGUCCAAAAAAAAAUUAGAAAGGGGGAAGUUGAAGGGGGCCACACCCAUGAAUUGUUUCACAAAUUCACUCAGAGAAGAAAAGUAGACACAUCCAAAAUACCACCCUCUGUCAACAAUGCUGCUUCACGUUUCUACCACUCAUAACCCACGAGGACCAAAUUGUCAUCAAACUCAUUACUUUUCCCCUAACAAUUAUUAUUAUCUCAACCACAUCUCCUUCUUUUACCAACAAAACCCGUGCUUUAGUAUACACAUUACCAUACACAUUUCCUCAUAAUUAUUAGGAUUAUUAUCAAUAUAUAUAAUAACGUAAAAGUAAACACCAACAAAUCUUCUAAUUAGCUAACACUUGAUUCUCAAACAGAGGCUGUGCCACUAAAAGAACCCUCCUACAGUAUAAUGACAAUGCUUAACACCCCUCCAUCCUUUUCUUUUUUGCCCUAUUCUGGAAGCUUUUUCAUGAUUUCACAUUGCAGCAUUUGAUUUAGUAAAUAUUUACAGCCAAAAACUGAGAAUGACAGUCACAUUAGGUCCUUUUAAGAGGAUUCUGAAGGGAAAGCUUGUGGAAUAAUGGUGAUGAUGAAAACUUUCUAGAAAAGUGUCUGAAA
Molecule: small RNA, 2021 nt
Filed under: Vigna angularis var. angularis
Lineage: Eukaryota; Viridiplantae; Streptophyta; Magnoliopsida; Fabales; Fabaceae
Description: Non-protein coding transcript
Source: RNAcentral